This 443-nucleotide ribosomal RNA is filed under the name uncultured bacterium. RNAcentral's name for it is "partial 16S ribosomal RNA". It matches the Rfam family "Bacterial small subunit ribosomal RNA", at positions 338 to 795 of the family's 1533-position model. The record is from RNAcentral.
CCUACGGGAGGCUGCAGUGGGGAAUAUUGGGCAAUGCGCGCAAGCCUGACCCAGCAACGCCGCGUGAAGGAAGAAGGCUUUCGGGUUGUAAACUUCUUUUGUCAGGGACGAAGCAAGUGACGGUACCUGACGAAUAAGCCACGGCUAACUACGUGACAGCCGCCGCUGUAAUACGUAGGUGGCAAGCGUUUGCCGGAUUUAUGGGGUGUAAAGGGCGUGUAGGCGGGAAUGCAAGUCAGAUGUGAAAACUAUGGGCUCAACCCAUAGCCUGCAUGUGAAACUGUAUUUCUUGAGUGCUGGAGAGGAAAUCGGAAUUCCGGGUGUAGCGGUGAAAUGCGUAGAUAUACGGAGGAACACCAGUGGCGAAGGCGGAUUGCUGGACAGUAACUGACGCUGAGGCGCGAAAGCGUGGGGAGCAAACAGGAUUAGAUACCCGAGUAGUC